AGCCUUCCUCCCCUUCCCAGACCCCUUUUCUCACUCUAUAAUUUCCCUCAAAUCUGCUUUCUUUGCUGAAAAGGUAGCUAAUCUGCUUUCUUUGCUGAAAGGGUAGCUAUCGUAUUGUUCUGCACCGUCGCCUGCACCGUCGUCUCAGAAAAGUGAGCCAAAAUCUCGCGAGAAUCAGGCUGCACACGAGCGGAUCCAAAGGCCAAACCUCCGAUCUUGAAGUCGACACACCCAGAGGAUCAUAUCAUAUGGACGCCUGGCUUUUGAUUGCAGCAGUCUCCUAAUCUAUUGGCUUUCGGUUCGCUGGUAAUGUGAUGUUGUCUCUGUCUUGGCUUGAAGUAUCUCACUCAUAUGUAUUCAAUCUGAAAAGGGAGAGCUUGUGCGUGCUUUAGGAGGAGUUGUGGCAUCCACAUCUCUUCUUGGAGUUCCUCUUGGACAUAACUCAUCGUUUCUUCAAGGGCCGACCUUUGCACCUCCAAGGAUUAGAGAGGCUAUCUGGUGUGGGAGCACCAACUCAACAACUGAAGAAGGUAUCUAAUUAUCUCAAUUAGUAGCAAACUUUUGCUUCUCAAAACAUUCAGUUUCGAGAAGAUUGGCUGCCCUGCUCGUGUUCUCA
Molecule: non-coding RNA, 616 nt
Organism: Malus domestica (apple)
Lineage: Eukaryota; Viridiplantae; Streptophyta; Magnoliopsida; Rosales; Rosaceae
Source: RefSeq, a predicted model, not a curated record